This 1056-nucleotide long non-coding RNA is filed under the name Homo sapiens (human). Its description in RNAcentral is "HSALNT0317057". The record is from RNAcentral. Lineage: Eukaryota; Metazoa; Chordata; Mammalia; Primates; Hominidae.
CUUAGCCUCCCGAGUAGCUGGGACUACAGGUGCCUGCUACCACGCCCAGCUAAUUUUUUGUAGUUUUAGUAGAGGCGGAGUUUCACUGUGUUAGCCAGGAUGGUCUUGAUCGCCUGACCUCGUGACCUGCCUGCCUCGGCCUCCCGAAGUGCUGGGAUUACAGGCAUAAGCCACCGCGCCCGGUCAACAGCAUGGUUUUAUAGAAGACCAAUUAAUUAUCAUUUUACAAUUUUAUCAGCUGGAAAAGCUAAAAGAACAGCUAGUGGAGGAGAAGGAUUCUGAGACGUCCUAUGCUGUAGAUGGUCUAUUCUCUUCUCAUCCUAGCAAACGAGAAAUGGGAGUCUCGCCAUCUUGCCCAGGCUCAUUUCAAACUCCUGAGCACAAGCGAUCCUUCAUCUUGGCGUCCUGAACUGCUGGGAUUAAAGGCACAGUGGCUCAUAUCUGUACGACCAGCUACUUGGAAGAUUGAGGAGGGAGUAUCCCUUGAGUCCAGGAGUUCCGAUCAGAUUGAGCAAUAUAAAGAGACCCCGUCACAAAACAAAAUAAACAAGAAAAAAUUUAAUUUGUAUUUAUGGGAUGGAAAAAUUCUAUAAAGAGAAAAUUCCACCUCCUCUACUGUUAGUGGUGAAGCUCACAUAAGAAAGAGCCAGCUGAGAGUCUGUCAAGGGGAGACCCAAAACCAGAGAAACUCCUUUUCUUCUUUGUCUCAAUCACAUCAUUUUCUAGGGACACCAAUUCAUCAAGAAGCAAGAGUUUUGCUGUCAGUUCCUCCUGCAUUCAUUCUUCCUGCUGCCUUGUGAAGAAGGUGCCUUGCUUCCCCUUUGCCUUCCACCAUGAUUGUAAGUUUAACGAGGACUCCCCAGCCAUGCAGAACUGUAAGUCAAUUAAACCUCUUUCCUUUAUAAAUAACACACUGUUGGGCAGUUCUUUAUAGCAGUAUGAAAAUGGACUAAUACAGUAAAUUGUUACCAAAGAGAGUGGGGUGUUGCUAUAAAGAUACCCAAAAAUGUGGAAGCAACUUUGGAAAUGGGAAAUAGGCAGAGGUUGGAACAGUUG